This 213-nucleotide unclassified non-coding RNA is filed under the name uncultured fungus. RNAcentral describes it as "sequence contains ITS1". The stretch from base 1 to 91 matches the Rfam family "5.8S ribosomal RNA", at positions 50 to 154 of the family's 154-position model. Lineage: Eukaryota; Fungi. The record is from RNAcentral.
CAAGUGCGAUACGUAGUGCGAGACGCACCUGUGAGUCAUCGAGUCUUUGAACGCAUUUUGCACUCGCAAGAGUACAUCUGCCAGAGCCGAGUACAGAGUAGAGUAGGAAUUCGACUUGAGCACGUAGUGCUUGCAAGGCAUUGGACGGGUCUCAACCACCUAAUUCCGACACGCGCUUCGCUCUGGUCAGAUGAGAGCACCCGCCGAACUUAA